Unclassified non-coding RNA from Chelonoidis abingdonii (Abingdon island giant tortoise), 152 nucleotides. The record is from Ensembl. Lineage: Eukaryota; Metazoa; Chordata; Testudines; Testudinidae.
UUAUCUGGUGAACAGAGUUCUCUUCUUGUCCAUAGAAUAGAUACAACACUAGCAGCACUGCUUUAUCAAUGUAUCUGAGCCUAUUCUGGAUGGGCCCCCUCUAGUGGUGAGAUGGGAGUUCAGUCUCUAUGCCCAUUCAAUCCCUGGUUUCC